UACGUAGGGGGCUAGCGUUGCUCGGAAUCACUGGGCGUAAAGGGCGCGUAGGCGGAUCUUUAAGUCGGGGGUGAAAGCCUGAGGCUCAACCUCAGAAUUGCCUUCGAUACUGGAGAUCUUGAGACCGGAAGAGGUAAGUGGAACUGCGAGUGUAGAGGUGAAAUUCGUAGAUAUUCGCAAGAACACCAGUGGCGAAGGCGGCUCACUGGCCCGGUACUGACGCUGAGGUGCGAAAGCGUGGGGAGCAAACAGG
This 253-nucleotide ribosomal RNA is filed under the name uncultured bacterium. RNAcentral describes it as "partial 16S ribosomal RNA". It matches the Rfam family "Bacterial small subunit ribosomal RNA", at positions 524 to 776 of the family's 1533-position model. The record is from RNAcentral.